This 515-nucleotide ribosomal RNA is filed under the name Sphingobacteriaceae bacterium enrichment culture clone H12. Its description in RNAcentral is "bacterial SSU rRNA". It matches the Rfam family "Bacterial small subunit ribosomal RNA", at positions 28 to 542 of the family's 1533-position model. The record is from RNAcentral. Lineage: Bacteria; Pseudomonadati; Bacteroidota; Sphingobacteriia; Sphingobacteriales; Sphingobacteriaceae.
GAUGAACGCUAGCGGGAGGCUUAACACAUGCAAGUCGAGCGGGAUUAGCAGCAAUGCUAUGAGAGCGGCGCACGGGUGCGUAGCGCGUAUGCAACCUGCCUUAUACAGGGGAAUAGCCCAUGGAAACGUGGAUUAAAGUCCCAUAGAAUCAAGAUAUCGCAUGGUAUUAUGAUUAAAACUGAGGUGGUAUAAGAUGGGCAUGCGUCUGAUUAGGUAGUUUGUGAGGUAACGGCUCGCCAAGCCGACGAUCAGUAGGGGUUCUGAGAGGAUUACCCCCCACACUGGUACUGAGACACGGACCAGACUCCUACGGGAGGCAGCAGUGAGGAAUAUUGGUCAAUGGCCGGAAGGCUGAACCAGCCAUCCCGCGUGCAGGAUGACGGCCCUAUGGGUUGUAAACUGCUUUUGUACCUGAAGAAUAGGCCCAACGAGUUGGGAUUUGCCGGUAAGGUAUGAAUAAGCAUCGGCUAACUCCCGUGCCAGCAGCCGCGGUAAUACGGGAGGAUGCAAGCGUU